This 88-nucleotide transfer RNA is filed under the name Sphaerotilus natans. RNAcentral describes it as "tRNA_Ser_GCT". It matches the Rfam family "tRNA". From Rfam's summary of the family: Transfer RNA (tRNA) molecules are approximately 80 nucleotides in length. Their secondary structure includes four short double-helical elements and three loops (D, anti-codon, and T loops). Lineage: Bacteria; Pseudomonadati; Pseudomonadota; Betaproteobacteria; Burkholderiales; Sphaerotilaceae. The record is from RNAcentral.
GGAAACGUGACCGAGUGGCCGAAGGUGCUCCCCUGCUAAGGGAGUAUGCGUCAAAAGCGCAUCGAGGGUUCGAAUCCCUCCGUUUCCG